GACGAACGCUGGCGGCGUGCUUAACACAUGCAAGUCGAACGGAAAGGCCUGCUUUCCCUUGUGGAUUGCGGGUACUCGAGUGGCGAACGGGUGAGUAACACGUGAGUGAUCUGCCCCCAACUUGGGUAUAAGCCUGGGAAACUGGGUCUAAUUCCCGAUAGGACUGCAGGGUGGUGCCUGUGGUGGAAAACGAUUUUCUAGUGGUUGGGGAUGAGCUCGCGGCCUAUCAGCUUGUUGGUGGGGUAAUGGCCUACCAAGGCGGCGACGGGUAGCCGGCCUGAGAGGGUGGACGGCCACAUUGGGACUGAGAUACGGCCCAGACGCCUACGGGAGGCAGCAGUGGGGAAUAUUGCACAAUGAGCGGAAGCCUGAUGCAGCGACGCAGCGUGGGGGAUGACGGCCUUCGGGUUGUAAACUCCUUUCGACCGCGAGGAAGCCACCUGGUUGGAAGGGUGGUGACGGUAGUGGUAGAAGAAGCACCGGCUAACUACGUG
This 494-nucleotide ribosomal RNA is filed under the name uncultured bacterium. RNAcentral's name for it is "partial 16S ribosomal RNA". It matches the Rfam family "Bacterial small subunit ribosomal RNA", at positions 28 to 507 of the family's 1533-position model. The record is from RNAcentral.